RNAcentral lists this ribosomal RNA (253 nucleotides) under uncultured bacterium. RNAcentral describes it as "partial 16S ribosomal RNA". It matches the Rfam family "Bacterial small subunit ribosomal RNA", at positions 524 to 776 of the family's 1533-position model. The record is from RNAcentral.
UACGUAGGGGGCAAGCGUUGUCCGGAUUUAUUGGGCGUAAAGAGCGUGUAGGCGGUUAGGUAGGACCGUUGUGAAAACUCGAGGCUCAACCUCGAGACGCCGAUGGAAACCAUCUGACUAGAGUCCGGAAGAGGAGAGUGGAAUUCCUGGUGUAGCGGUGAAAUGCGCAGAUAUCAGGAAGAACACCCGUGGCUAAGGCGGCUCUCUAGUACGUGACUGACGCUGAGACGCGAAAGCGUGGGGAGCGAACAGG